This 711-nucleotide long non-coding RNA is filed under the name Homo sapiens (human). RNAcentral describes it as "HSALNT0114261". Lineage: Eukaryota; Metazoa; Chordata; Mammalia; Primates; Hominidae. The record is from RNAcentral.
ACUCUUCUCUCCUUUCUUCCAUACAUCUCCUCAUAACUCUAUUUAUAAAUGGCCUUCGCAAAACCAAAUUAACACAGUAAAAAGCUUAACCAUGUGGUGCCCAGCACAAUAAGAUCUGGAAGGUCUGUCGUUAUUGGAUGCCGAGGAUGUAUUUCCAUGUCCUGUGCCUCAUCAGCAGCUUCAACUCUGGAGAGAUAACAGUGGGGUUGAUGUAGAAAUCUUGCCUAAAUGCUCCCUACCAUGAAUGACCACAUGUUCCAGCAUGGUAUGCCAAGGAUCCCUUUGCAAUGUAACUCUACUCCUCCCUCCAUCAAGAAGUAGGGUCUAUUUCUCCACCCCUUGAAUCAGUCUGGUCUUGUGACUUGCUUUCAUCAAUAAAAUGUUGCAGAAGUGAAGUCUGAAAGCCCUGCUUGGAGAAAACAUGUAGCUUCUACUUUCAAUCUUGGAAUCCAGUCUCCACAAAAAGAAGUCCAGGCUAGCCUGCGGAGACAGAGAACAUGUGGAGAGAAAGAUCAUAGUGAAUGAACUACCAUAUGGAGAGUGAAGCCACAUGGAAGAGAACCACAUUGCCCCAGUUUGACAGUAACAGCAAAGCUCCAUUUAUUGAGAAUGAAGCAAUCUUUGAUCUCUUAGCCCUAAUCAAGUCACCCCAGCUGACAUCACAUGGAGUAGAGACAAGCCAUCCCCACUGAGCCCCAAAUAUCCAACCAA